ACGAAAGCGUGGGGAGCGAACAGGAUUAGAUACCCUGGUAGUCCACGCCGUAAACGAUGGAUACUAGCUGUUCGGAGCAAUCUGAGUGGCUAAGCGAAAGUGAUAAGUAUCCCACCUGGGGAGUACGCACGCAAGUGUGAAACUCAAAGGAAUUGACGGGGGCCCGCACAAGCGGAGGAGCAUGUGGUUUAAUUCGAUGAUACGCGAGGAACCUUACCAGGGCUUAAAUGGGAGACGACAGUUUGGGAAACCAGAUUUUCUUCGGACGUCUUUCAAGGUGCUGCAUGGUUGUCGUCAGCUCGUGCCGUGAGGUGUCAGGUUAAGUCCUAUAACGAGCGCAACCCCUAUUGUUAGUUGCCAGCGGGUCAUGCCGGGAACUCUAACAAGACUGCCGGUGCAAACCGUGAGGAAGGUGGGGAUGACGUCAAAUCAUCACGGCCCUUACGUCCUGGGCUACACACGUGCUACAAUGGACGGUACAGAGAGCAGCCACUGCGCAAGCAGGAGCGAAUCUUCAAAGCCGUUCUCAGUUCGGAUCGGAGUCUGCAACUCGACUCCGUGAAGCUGGAUUCGCUAGUAAUCGCAUAUCAGCCAUGAUGCGGUGAAUACGUUCCCGGGCCUUGUACACACCGCCCGUCAAGCCAUGGAAGCUGGGGGUACCUGAAGUCGGUGACCGCAAGGAGCUGCCUAGGGUAAAACUAGUAACUGGGGCUAAGUCGUAACAAGGUAC
Molecule: ribosomal RNA, 730 nt
Filed under: uncultured bacterium
Lineage: Bacteria
Description: bacterial SSU rRNA
Rfam family: Bacterial small subunit ribosomal RNA
Source: RNAcentral